AGAGUAAAAUGCCUCUUGACAUUUCAGAUCCAUGAGCCCCUUAACAUUGGUAGAAAGGUAUAAAAGUCAGCGCUGAAUGAGUAUUCAGCAGGUUCAUCAGUGUGUCGAUUCCCAAAACUGCAUGAAUCAAGCAAAACUCAGGAUUAACUCAGUCAAUCCAUGGAGGCUUAAUAGAAUGAGGCAUUUGAAAUAUUUCAAGAAUGGGCAUGAGCAGAUCAGUGAGGAUGACUCAGAAUGGUGUAACUGCA
Non-coding RNA from Macaca mulatta (Rhesus monkey), 248 nucleotides. NCBI's taxonomy places the organism in Eukaryota, Metazoa, Chordata, Mammalia, Primates, Cercopithecidae. The record is from RefSeq and is a predicted model, not a curated record.